AGCCCACAGCCUCUACGUCUUCGGUGAAUAGGCAAAGGGCGGCCUCAGCCCUGGAGCUGCGGCUGCAGCGACGGAUGCUCGAGAUCGUGCUGGAGUAGUGCGGUGAUCCGGACGAUGAUGAGGAGUGGGAGGACGGGAAUCCGGGCUAGGCGCGGACGGCUGGGCGGCAACAUCAGCGACGAGGAGGGGCCACCCCCGGCGCCGGAGAUGGAUCCGUCGGACGCCAAAAACGAGAUGGACAGGAAAAUGUGACCUUUUCAAUGGAGAAUGGCUACCAAAUCCCUCUGGCCCAGUCAAGCUGUCGUUUUAAUAAAGAUAACCAGAACUGCAUGAGAAUGGUAGACCGGACACCGGAUAUCUUCACUAGAAACCUAGUAAGCGUGAUCUACCCCAUUUGAUGAAGUUAGAUUUCUAGCUGCUAUGAGGAGCAAAGCAUGGGAUUAAUCAGUAACUUCAUUCUUCGUAGCCAAGUUCAGUCAUUGAUUUGCAUUAUGUCUAAGGAAAAUAAUACAUCAUUACGUGACUCCUCCUUUAAAUUCUCCUUUUCUCAUACUAGAGUGUUGUUGUUAAUGCUCACCUUGAAGCACCAUGUCUGUAUCUGCAUUUACUUA
This is a long non-coding RNA of Triticum aestivum (bread wheat), 611 nucleotides long. RefSeq lists it as uncharacterized. The transcript is spliced from 2 exons. Lineage: Eukaryota; Viridiplantae; Streptophyta; Magnoliopsida; Poales; Poaceae. The record is from RefSeq and is a predicted model, not a curated record.